Haliotis rubra (blacklip abalone) is the source of this 689-nucleotide long non-coding RNA. RefSeq lists it as uncharacterized. Lineage: Eukaryota; Metazoa; Mollusca; Gastropoda; Lepetellida; Haliotidae. The transcript is spliced from 4 exons. The record is from RefSeq and is a predicted model, not a curated record.
UGAGUACAGUUACAGUCACACUUUACCUGCCAGGUGACACUCAUUGAGUACAGUUACAGUCACACUUUACCUGCCAGGUGACACUCAUUGAUUACAGUUACAGUCACACUUUACCUGCCAGGUGAGACCUAUUGAGUACAGUUACAGUCACACUUUACCUGCCAGGUGACUCUCAUUGAUUACAGUUACAGUCACACUUUACCUGCCAGGUGACACUUGUUGAGAUUCAGUCAUGUGCAAACAUUCUAAUGCAGCAAAAGGUAAAAAACACAACUUGUAUUCAAAAUCUCUUCAAGGGUAAUGGUAUUCAACAAUUUAGAGAAAAGGAUGCAGAAAACACACAUUAACACAAACAUGUGAGUAACAGAAUGUUCACAUUCAGCAGUCAGUGUCAUACCAUGAUGGGUGAGUGUGAAUACUAUCCCAGCUACCAGCUACAAGAUAACACAUGACUUCAAGGCACACUACACCAGUAACAUCUUUUGACAUAUUCUUAUUGAGCUUGUUGAUAUGUGCACACAAAGCUGUCUACAUCACUCAAGACACAUGUACAUCACUGUAGACACAUGUAUAUCACUCAAGGUACAUGUACAUCACUCAAGGCACAUGUAUAUCACUCAAGGCACAUGUACAUCACUCAAGACAAAUGUACAUCACUCAAGACACAUGUACAUCACUCAAGACACAUG